AUUUUUUAAAAGGGAACCAUUUCAUUAUUGAAAUCUUAUGAAUGCAUCAGUUAAUUUAUAUUAAAUUAUAAGCAGGCUAUCUGAAAAACAAGGAUAUAGAAAUCAUAUAUACACAUUUUUGAAAUAUUAGUUUAGUAUUUAACAUAUUAACAUUUCAAAACAAAUGCAAUGAUCUAGCUACCUAUGACGCCAGCUGGUGUCAGUGGUUGUAGCGAAGAUGCUGUUUCUGUUUACCAUGAGCAAACAGCAUUUCUUGGGUCUUAAGCUAAACAAUCACAAGUUAUCAAAGUAAAGAAAAUCUAAAGACAGUUCUUACUUUUCAUGUGUAGAAGUGUAGUUUGGGUAUCCAGUCAUGCCACAGUGUGACUGUGGUCAACACAGCCCUUGUCACAGGUGCGUAUGGUCCUAAAUAGCUGGCCUCUGUCUUUCCAACAUCUUCACUUCAUUGGGAAUUCAGUGCAAGUGUUUGUUUUGUGAGUUAGUGCAUUCAGCUUUUUUUGCAUGUUAUUUUGAAAAAGAAGCUGUCAGGAAGCAGAAGAUACAUAAGAACACAAGGCCCUGGAUCCUCAGAGCACCUCUGGUCUAGAGAAUUCAGUGUUUUGGAAGUAGUGUUUUCCUGCAUUGGGCUGGUCAUUGUUGUACCAUUCCCUGGAUAAUCUUUUUCCAUCAGAAUAAUGCUGUGUGCUCCCUCUUUGCCUGCUACUGAACAAUGACGUCUCUUGUUGUGAACCCCACUGGCAGAGCACGGACCAUGGAAGCAUCUUUUGGCAGCACCAGAGAACUGAGCAUCUCAAAGCAUGAGUUCUUCUGUUUCUUCUGCGUGGGUUGACCAUGGGCAUCAGGCAUCAGAGAUACAACUCUGGAUCUUGUCCAUCCAUUGCUGGGCACUCUGUCCAUCCUGGGCGCAGAAGUUAUACACACGUUUG
Molecule: long non-coding RNA, 926 nt
Filed under: Homo sapiens (human)
Lineage: Eukaryota; Metazoa; Chordata; Mammalia; Primates; Hominidae
Description: HSALNT0171922
Source: RNAcentral